Molecule: non-coding RNA, 46 nt
Filed under: Podarcis lilfordi (Lilford's wall lizard)
Lineage: Eukaryota; Metazoa; Chordata; Lepidosauria; Squamata; Lacertidae
Rfam family: Histone 3' UTR stem-loop
About the family: The mRNAs of metazoan histone genes lack a poly-A tail. 3' end processing occurs at a site between a highly conserved stem-loop (modelled by this family) and a purine rich region around 20 nts downstream (the histone downstream element, or HDE).
Source: RNAcentral
CAAAAGGCCCUUAUAAGGGCCACCCACGCUUUCAUAAAAAGAGCUG